CCACGGGUGGCUGCAGUGAGGAAUAUUGGUCAAUGGACGGAAGUCUGAACCAGCCAUGCCGCGUGCAGGAUGACGGCUCUAUGAGUUGUAAACUGCUUUUGUACGAGAAUAAUAGUUCUUACGUGUAAGGAGUUGAAUGUAACGUACGAAUAAGGAUCGGCUAACUUCGUGACAGCAGCCGCGGGCAUACGGAGGAUUCGAGGGUUAUCCGGAUUUAUUGGGUUGAAAGGGGGGGUAGGCUGUCGGAUAAGGUAGAGGUCAAAUGUCGGGGCUUAACCCCGUGACUGCCUUUGAUACUGUUCGCCUAGAGAGCGGAUGCAGCAGGCGGAAUGAGUAGUGUAGCGGUGAAAUGCUUAGAUAUUACGCAGAACACCGAUUGCGCAGGCAGCUUGCUAAUCCGCAUCUGACGCUGAUGCACGAAAGCGUGGGUAGCGAACAGGAUUAGAUACCCUUGUAGUC
RNAcentral lists this ribosomal RNA (459 nucleotides) under uncultured bacterium. RNAcentral describes it as "partial 16S ribosomal RNA". It matches the Rfam family "Bacterial small subunit ribosomal RNA", at positions 339 to 795 of the family's 1533-position model. The record is from RNAcentral.